Molecule: long non-coding RNA, 467 nt
Filed under: Marmota monax (woodchuck)
Lineage: Eukaryota; Metazoa; Chordata; Mammalia; Rodentia; Sciuridae
Source: RNAcentral
CAACUCUCCUCCGAAUCUUCUCCCCGGGGCGGCUCCCUUUGCAAACAAGCACGCGUGACACACCGCUGGCUGCAGCGCCUGGGGCAGAGAAGCUGGAGGACACCCCCUGGAGGGGGCAGAGCACCUCUGUCAGGAAAAGCGCAGCGUGGGUGGGGGGCUCCUCAACUUCGCCCGCUCUCCAUCUCCGAGCCGAGAUCGGCUGCCUCUUCCAAGAGGCGACUGAGCGUGCAGCCCGGGCUGCCCUGCAGUCCCCGCCGCGACUCAGGUGGGCGAGUGCACCCACCCACGGGUAAGUCAGAGCGGUCAGGGCAGCACGAUGCCCUCCACCACGGCCCCGCGAGCACUCCACUUAUGUUCUUUAAUUUGUACCAUUCCUUCAAAUAAAGAAAUUUGGUACCCCCCCCCCCAAAAAAAAAAAAUAAAAAAAUAAAAGGAUCUACUGCAGAAGAAGAAAGAAUAAUAUCUAA